Molecule: long non-coding RNA, 221 nt
Organism: Acyrthosiphon pisum (pea aphid)
Lineage: Eukaryota; Metazoa; Arthropoda; Insecta; Hemiptera; Aphididae
Exons: 2
Source: RefSeq, a predicted model, not a curated record
UUAAUUUUUAGGUUAUACAAUUUUGCUGAUCAAGAAUCCAAUUUUAAUAACGCAGAGGGCCUCAACAUAUUUGAAUUGCAAAGAAACACAUAACUAGUUUGGACAUUGGUAUCUUUUCUGAAGGGAAAGUGCAUCUAGUUGGAUGCGUUAAACAGGUUGUCAAACCCGUUCCCUUUUGCAACGAGGAAAGACAAACUUCUUUGAAAAAAGAGUAUGCAAUU